UCGGGAAUUUUGGGCAAUGGGCGGAAGCCUGAUCCAGCAAUACCGCGUGUGUGAAGAAGGCCUUAGGGUUGUAAAGCACUUUCAAUAGGGAGGAAAAAGGUAAGCUUAAUACGUUUGCCCUUGACAUUACCUAUACAAGAAGCACCGGCUAACUCCGUGCCAGCAGCCGCGGUAAUACGGAGGGUGCAAGCGUUAAUCGGAAUUACUGGGCGUAAAGCGUGCGUAGGCGGCUUGUUAAGUCAGAUGUGAAAGCCCCGGGCUCAACCUGGGAACUGCAUUUGAAACUGGCAAGCUAGAGUUGGGUAGAGGGGAGUGGAAUUUCAGGUGUAGCGGUGAAAUGCGUAGAUAUCUGAAGGAACACCAGUGGCGAAGGCGACUCCCUGGACUCAAACUGACGCUGAGGCACGAAAGCGUGGGUAGCAAACAGGAUUAGAUACCCAAGUAGUCCCUGAGCGGGCUGGCAAGGCGCAU
This 471-nucleotide ribosomal RNA is filed under the name uncultured bacterium. RNAcentral's name for it is "bacterial SSU rRNA". It matches the Rfam family "Bacterial small subunit ribosomal RNA", at positions 355 to 825 of the family's 1533-position model. The record is from RNAcentral.